CUUGCUUCUCUUGAGAGCGGCGGACGGGUGAGUAAUGCCUAGGAAUCUGCCUGGUAGUGGGGGAUAACGUUCGGAAACGGACGCUAAUACCGCAUACGUCCUACGGGAGAAAGCAGGGGACCUUCGGGCCUUGCGCUAUCAGAUGAGCCUAGGUCGGAUUAGCUAGUUGGUGGGGUAAUGGCUCACCAAGGCGACGAUCCGUAACUGGUCUGAGAGGAUGAUCAGUCACACUGGAACUGAGACACGGUCCAGACUCCUACGGGAGGCAGCAGUGGGGAAUAUUGGACAAUGGGCGAAAGCCUGAUCCAGCCAUGCCGCGUGUGUGAAGAAGGUCUUCGGAUUGUAAAGCACUUUAAGUUGGGAGGAAGGGUUGUAGAUUAAUACUCUGCAAUUUUGACGUUACCGACAGAAUAAGCACCGGCUAACUCUGUGCCAGCAGCCGCGGUAAUACAGAGGGUGCAAGCGUUAAUCGGAAUUACUGGGCGUAAAGCGCGCGUAGGUGGUUUGUUAAGUUGGAUGUGAAAUCCCCGGGCUCAACCUGGGAACUGCAUUCAAAACUGACUGACUAGAGUAUGGUAGAGGGUGGUGGAAUUUCCUGUGUAGCGGUGAAAUGCGUAGAUAUAGGAAGGAACACCAGUGGCGAAAGCGACCACCUGGACUAAUACUGACACUGAGGUGCGAAAGCGUGGGGAGCAACAGGAUUAGAUACCCUGGUAGUCCACGCCGUAAACGAUGUCAACUAGCCGUUGGAAGCCUUGAGCUUUUAGUGGCGCAGCUAACGCAUUAAGUUGACCGCCUGGGG
Molecule: ribosomal RNA, 802 nt
Filed under: uncultured bacterium
Lineage: Bacteria
Description: bacterial SSU rRNA
Rfam family: Bacterial small subunit ribosomal RNA
Source: RNAcentral